GAUGAAGAACGCAGUGAAAUGCGAUAAGUAAUGUGAAUUGCAGAAUUCAGUGAAUCAUCGAAUCUUUGAACGCACCUUGCGCCCUUUGGCCAUUCCGAAGGGCAUGCCUGUUUGAGUAUCAUGAACACCUCAACUCUUAUGGUUUUCCAUGAUGAGCUUGGACUCUGGGGGUUUUGCUGGCUCACAGUCGGCUCCUCUAAAAUGAAUCAGCUUACCAGUGUUUGGUGGGUAUCAUGGGUGUGAUAACUAUCUACGCUUGUGGUUUUUCCACCAGGUAACCUUCAGCAGUGGAGGUUCGCUGGAGCUCAUAGAUGUCUCUCCUCAGUGAGGACAGCCCUUUGAAUGUUUGAUCUCAAAUCAGGUAGGACUACCCGCUGAACUUAAGCAUAUCAAUAAGCGGAGGA
RNAcentral lists this unclassified non-coding RNA (404 nucleotides) under soil metagenome. RNAcentral's name for it is "partial contains 5.8S ribosomal RNA, internal transcribed spacer 2, and large subunit ribosomal RNA". The stretch from base 1 to 121 matches the Rfam family "5.8S ribosomal RNA", at positions 35 to 154 of the family's 154-position model. The record is from RNAcentral.